This 221-nucleotide unclassified non-coding RNA is filed under the name soil metagenome. Its description in RNAcentral is "partial contains 5.8S ribosomal RNA, internal transcribed spacer 2, and large subunit ribosomal RNA". The record is from RNAcentral.
AACCUAGCACACCUGCGGUGUGUACCUGCGGAAGGAUCAUUACAGAGUUGCAAAACUCCCUAAACCAUUGUGAACCUACCUUCUACCGUUGCUUCGGCGGGCGGGCCUAGCGCCCCCCCGGCCCCCCGCGGGCGCCCGCCGGAGGAUAACCAAACUCUUGACAUCAGUGGCCUCUCUGAGUAUUCUUUACUGAAUAAGUCAAAACUUUUAACAACGGAUCU